UACUAGAGUAGCACUCGCAUAUCAAUAAGCGGAGGAAAAGAAACUAACAAGGAUUCCCCUAGUAACGGCGAGUGAAGCGGGAAGAGCUCAAAUUUGAAAUCUUAAAGGGUUUCCCUUUACGAAUUGUAGUUUAAAGAAGUGUUUUCUGUUGAGGUUUUGGUAAAAGUUCUUUGGAAUAGGACAUCAUAGAGGGUGAGAAUCCCGUAUUUGACCUUUACUUUCAACUUUGUGAUACACUUUCAAAGAGUCGGAUUGUUUGGGAAUGCAGUCCAAAAUGGGUGGUAAAUUUCAUCUAAAGCUAAAUAUUGGCGAGAGACCGAUAGCGAACAAGUACCGUGAGGGAAAGAUGAAAAGAACUUUGAAAAGAGAGUUAAACAGUACGUGAAAUUGUCAAAAGGGAAGCGUUUGACACCAGUGUUGUUUUUCUGAAAAUCAAUUAAAGAACUGUUUAUGCUAAGCUGUUUAGACUUUAUCAGCUAACUGUUUAGUUUUGAGCUUUUCUUUAAUGCACUUUUCAGUUAACAAGUCAACAUCAAUUUCUUUUGCUGUAAAAAAGCUUGAGGAAGGUGGUUUGAGAUUCGUCUUAAGUGUUUAUAGCCUCUUGCCUAUGCAGUCGGAGAGAUUGAGGUCUGCAGCGUAGAUCCUUCGGGGCUAAAUGCAUUUGUGCUAAGUUAUAGCAUUUUAUAGACAACUUGUUGACUAUGAUUUGUCUUGUAGCUUACUCGCUUAUGUUAUUUUACCUACGCUUAGGAUGUUGAGCGCAUGUCUCUCUCUC
This 775-nucleotide ribosomal RNA is filed under the name uncultured Neocallimastigales. RNAcentral's name for it is "partial large subunit ribosomal RNA". It matches the Rfam family "Eukaryotic large subunit ribosomal RNA", at positions 20 to 619 of the family's 3401-position model. The record is from RNAcentral. Lineage: Eukaryota; Fungi; Neocallimastigomycota; Neocallimastigomycetes; Neocallimastigales.